Molecule: ribosomal RNA, 361 nt
Filed under: uncultured bacterium
Lineage: Bacteria
Description: partial 16S ribosomal RNA
Rfam family: Bacterial small subunit ribosomal RNA
Source: RNAcentral
CCUACGGGAGGCAGCAGUGAGGAAUAUUGGUCAAUGGCCGGAAGGCUGAACCAGCCAAGCCGCGUGAAGGACGAAGGUGCCAAGCAUUGUAAACUUCUUUUGUCCAGGGACAAAAUCAGACUCGCGAACCUGUCCGAGAGUACCUGAAGAAAAAGCAUCGGCUAACUCCGUGCCAGCAGCCGCGGUAAUACGGAGGAUGCAAGCGUUAUCCGGAUUUAUUGGGUUUAAAGGGUGCGUAGGCGGACUGUUAAGUUAGAGGUAAAAGCCCGGGGCUCAACCCCGGAGAGCCGUUGAAACUGGCUGGCUUGAGAUGUCGAGAGGUAUGCGGAAUGCGCAGUGUAGCGGUGAAAUGCUUAGAGAU